RNAcentral lists this ribosomal RNA (301 nucleotides) under uncultured bacterium. RNAcentral describes it as "partial 16S ribosomal RNA". It matches the Rfam family "Bacterial small subunit ribosomal RNA", at positions 509 to 807 of the family's 1533-position model. The record is from RNAcentral.
CAGUCGCCACGGGAAUACGGAGGGUGCGAGCGUUAAUCGGAAUUACUGGGCGUAAAGCGUACGCAGGCGGUUUGUUAAGUCAGAUGUGAAAUCCCCGAGCUUAACUUGGGAACUGCAUUUGAAACUGGCAAGCUAGAGUCUUGUAGAGGGGGGUAGAACUCCAGGUGUAGCGGUGAAAUGCGUAGAGAUCUGGAGGAAUACCGGUGGCGAAGGCGGCCCCCUGGACAAAGACUGACGCUCAGGUGCGAAAGCGCGGGGAGCAAACAGGAUUAGAUACCCCUGUAGUCCCUGUCUCUUAUAC